Molecule: long non-coding RNA, 416 nt
Filed under: Equus caballus (horse)
Lineage: Eukaryota; Metazoa; Chordata; Mammalia; Perissodactyla; Equidae
Description: lncRNA (ENSECAG00000048585.1)
Source: RNAcentral
GCCAUGUGACGUAACACCAGGAAGCCCCGAGGUUGGGAAGCCACCGCCUGGAGAAUGCACAUGGCCGGCCUGGCAGAGAACCCACGCUUCCAGAGGGGCCUUCAUUGUCCCAACACUGAAGCCCAACUGAAGGCCAAGCUCACGUGGACUCUGGCGGAAGAAUUUAGUGACGUCCAAUUUCGAGUAACCGAACUUGUCUGGGAAACAAUUUGGGGUAGAAUUAUUGCAAGAUGCCUGAGGCUACUCUUGCCCUGCUAAGGCGAGGGGAAAGACGGAAGCAUGAAUUGACUAAGAUAGUAGUAAAAGACCAGCUGGGAGCUACUGGCCAUCAUCUCUGUCACCAAGGGAGAAAGCCAACAGAGAGAGGAAGAGCUGUGAAAGGGAAAGAGACAGCGAGUCUGGACCCUGGACUGUUC